Long non-coding RNA from Triticum aestivum (bread wheat), 2151 nucleotides. RefSeq lists it as uncharacterized. The record is from RefSeq and is a predicted model, not a curated record. The transcript has 3 exons. Lineage: Eukaryota; Viridiplantae; Streptophyta; Magnoliopsida; Poales; Poaceae.
GGGCGGUCGGCGAGGAUGCCGGUGGUGCACGCGGUGCGCUCGAGUACUUUAAGGUUGAGCCGGUGGCGUUUGUCCCACGGACCCGUCUGUGCAGCGGCAGAUGGUCUUCAGGAUCAUGUGGCUAUGGCAUAGAAGCGGAUUCAUGCGACCAGUCGGCAAGACGAGAUGACCUCCCCGGCAAGGUCACGCCGAUUGCAAGGCACUUCAGUGGUGGACUGGAUCGAUCUGUUUGACUUGACAGUUUGAUUGGUAAUCACAAAAUACUGCAGUUCAAUUUAAUUAAUUCAUCUCUACUCUAUUAUGCCGCCAAAGAUAAAGAUAUCUGAUGCUGAAGAACAGGAGAACAGAUCAGCAUGUUCACUUACAAGAUCGGUAGACUUCAAUAUUCAGUUACUAUGAUCAGUACGAGUAGGCCAAAAAAUCAAGGGCACUAUGACAGAUGGGGAAUAACUGAUAGUGUGUUCCCUUUUCUCAUUACACCACACGCCAUCCAGACAUAGCCGGACAAUUAUAAUAAGACGGUUCAAGCCGUGAGAAGACUCUCAGAUAGUGCAGAUUCUUUGUUGCACGUUGUCUAAUUAUGACACCGAGACUACUGAAUUUGUGCUGCUCUCCAUCACGUGCAUAUAAAUAAUGCAGCCGCGUCCUAAUUUUUGUGUUACUCAUGACUUUUGGGUCAAGCUUCUUUGUCAACCGUGCAGGUUGUUUGAUUAGUUGUUUGAUUAACAAGUAAUUCGCUGUGACCAUGGAGUUGGGCACUUGUGACGCAGCUUCUUCCUAGGCAUGAAGAAUCACUGUUCCCACAAGGUUCUGGAUGUCCUAAAUCUUAAGCCCAGAAAGGUUGUGCUUUAGUAAGUCAGGUGAUAUCUUACAUUGUUUGUGAAUUGGUUCAGUUAUUUUCUCUUGUCUUUUUGUUGCAUGCUUCUGAUUGUUAAUUGCGUGAAAACUGUAGAUACAGAAGCGCAUCAAAUCCGACUACAAAGUAGAGCACAGGUUUACAAAUGGUGGUGAAAGCAAAGCACUCUAUAUCCAUGAAAGGAAAUGGUAUUCAGAUUCAGAUGUCAAAGAAAAGUAAAUUAGGGAGUGCUGAUGGUGGGCUACAAGGGCGGUAAUCUUAAGAAAUUUGCAGGUACAUAACUACCUCAUAGAAGACAUAAUUAGUUUCAAUGUAGGAAAAUCUGUAGGCUGAUUAAGCUUUGAUGUAUAGUUAGUAGUAGCACUUCACUUGGGUAAAAAUAUUCAUGCUUAGCUUCUUCAACAGUAGUUUUUCUGAACAAUGCUGAAUUGAUAUUAGACUAAAACCUCAAGAAUACCUGAGGGUCAAAGGCAAGUGUUGUUUAUCAUGACUCGUGUUAUGAGAGUGCAAAAUAAAUUAUAGAGAAGUACAUAGCGUUGCCUUGGAAUAUUUAUUACUCACUGAUCUGCCUGUUCAUUUAAUGGCAUACACAAAAAUCUUUCUACUGUGUGCAUGCGUGUGUGUUCGAGUUGCUUCACACAAAUGGAUAGAUUGUUGUCUAUGAGUAUGCUUCUCUUUUUAUCAACUUAUGGAAAAUUAUACUAAUGGACAUGCUUUGUUUGCAAGAUUUAGAAAAGGAUUUAUAAAGUAUAUGCGUUACACAAUUAUUGUUACACUACUACAAAAUAUAUGCUCCCGUUGCAACACACGUACCUCCCUAUUAUAGAUCAAUAUAAAUGUAUGUUCCCGUUAUAACUAUACCUUUCUAGGUUACAUUACUCAGAGAUGGUGGCUGCAAACACUAAAAUACAACAUUAUGGAUGUAUUGAUGUAAUACACUAAUACUAUGUACUCCUUGGAGGUGCUGAAUAUAAAGUGAUCUGAUGUUGCGUGCUUUCCAAAAAAUGCAAUAAAAUAUGGAGACACAAGUUGCAUUAGGUGCUUAAUUCAUGGAGAGAAGGUUAUAUCUUCUUCGACAAGGACGCAGAGCAAGAUUUUCUUUGUAGAUCCUACCUUUUGAACAGAGCUUCUGACCUGAGCCUCCAUGUUUAGUAUAUACAUGACUUACUUCUGGUGCUGUUUUAACAUGUGCGUUCAGCUCUAUGCCUUUGUAAAAGUAGGCCGAAAUAAUAUUGCUAACACUUCUUAAGGGAUGCCAUUUUAGAUAAUUCCGUUUUCUUGUGGAGAACUUUUAA